Molecule: long non-coding RNA, 1586 nt
Filed under: Homo sapiens (human)
Lineage: Eukaryota; Metazoa; Chordata; Mammalia; Primates; Hominidae
Description: HSALNT0186724
Source: RNAcentral
AGGGAGGAUUAUGAUCAAUAAAAAUACCAAAGAUAUCAGACCAAUAGGUUUGGGUAGGAGUAUGAUGCAUCUCUGAAUGGACUUUAAGCGGUCUAAAAAUGCCCUUCCACAAGUGCAAGCAUCUGUAAUUACUUGACAUUCGGAAGAAUCUAUGACUCCCAAAAAGUGAAGAACCAUUGGUCUAUAUGUUGAUGACUCCUCAAAAUAUACUACACCUCAGAUUUCUCUCAGUGCCUUCAGCCAGUUGCACUUUGAUAUCUUGGGGAGAGGUGAAGGGAAGGAGCCAGCUUCACAAAAGAAUGCCCGGAUGGAUGGGUGCAGUGGCUCACGCCUGUAAUCCCAGCACUUUGGGAGGCUGAGGCAGGCGGAUCACUUGAGGUCAGGAGUUCGAGACCAGCCAACAUGGUGAAACACCAUCUCGACCAAAAAUACAAAAAUUAGCCGGGUAUGGUGGCGUGUGCCUGUAAUCCCAGCUACUCAGGAGGCUGAAGGGGGAGAACUGCUUGACCCUGGAGGCAGAGGUUCCACUAACCCAAGAUCGCGCAACCGCACUCCAGCCUGGAUGACAGGGCAAGACUCUAAAUCACGUUACAAAAAAAAAAAAGAAUGCCCUGAUGAAGAGGUGAAAAUUAUUAAUUGUAUUAAAUCUGAACCCUAAGUACAUGUCUUUUUAAUAGCCUGUUGGAUAAAAUGGGAAGUCAGCAUAAAGCUCUUCUGCUGCAUAUCGAAUGACAAUACUGUCUUGAGAAAUAUCACUUGUGCAAUUAUUUGACUAAUUUGGUAGACAUUCUCUCAAAAAUGAAUGAAUGGAGUGUGUCACUUCAAGGAUACAACUCAAAAUAUCUGUUGCCAAUGACAAAAUUCAAGCUGUCAGGCAAAAAUUCAAAUUUUAGAAAACUUGUAUCUAUCACUGUAAGCUUGAAAGUAUUCCGAUCUUUAAAAACUUCUGAUUUGGGCCUGGCGUGGUGGCUCACAUCUGUAAUCUCAGCACUUUGGGAGACAGAGGUGCAUGGAUCACAAGGUCAGGAGAGUUCGAGAUCAGCCUGGCCCCAUCUCUAUUAAAAAUACGAAAAUUAGCCGGGCGCGGUGGCGGGUGCCUGUAAUCUCUGCUACUCGGGAGGCUAAGGCAGGAGAAUCGCCUGAACCUGGGACGUGGAGGUUGCAGUGAGCCGAGAUUAUGCCAUUGCACUCUAGCCUGGGUGACAGAACAAGACUCUGUCUCAAAAAAAAAAUGAAAAAAUCUUCUGAUUUGGUUGGUGAUUAUACUAAUGUAUGUGAUUUUUGAUAAUGAAUAAUCAAUUACAUCAACAUUUGGAAGCAAAUAAUUCAGUAAACCAAAACUUUUCAAGCAAGCAACACAUGAUAAUGCCAAAUCAUGUAUGAAAACAAGAUCUGUUCAGAGGGUAAGAUAGAUCAAUGUUUUAAAAUAACAGAGUAUGAAUAGUUGACUGAUAUGGUUUCAUAUUCCACAUUAAGAAACUACAACUUGGCCGGGCGCAGUGGCUCACACCUGUAAUCCCAGCACUUUGGGAGGCCGAGGCGGGUGGAUCACGAGGUCAGGUGAUUGAGACCACGGUGAAAGCCCG